UACAGAGGUCCCGAGCGUUGUUCGGAUUCAUUGGGCGUAAAGGGUGCGUAGGCGGCGUGGCAAGUCUGAUGUGAAAUCCCGGGGCUCAACCCCGGAACUGCAUUGGAUACUGCCUUGCUUGAGUACUGGAGAGGGAACUGGAAUUUACGGUGUAGCAGUGAAAUGCGUAGAGAUCGUAAGGAAGGCCAGUGGCGAAGGCGAGUUCCUGGACAGUUACUGACGCUGAGGCACGAAGGCCAGGGGAGCAAACGGG
Molecule: ribosomal RNA, 253 nt
Filed under: uncultured bacterium
Lineage: Bacteria
Description: partial 16S ribosomal RNA
Rfam family: Bacterial small subunit ribosomal RNA
Source: RNAcentral